CGCCUGGGGAGUGCGGCCGCAAGGUUAGAACUCAAAUGAAUUGACGGGGGCCCGCACAAGCGGUGGAGCAUGUGGUUUAAUUCGACGCAACGCGAAGAACCUUACCUGGCCUUGACAUCCAGAGAACUUUCCAGAGAUGGAUUGGUGCCUUCGGGAACUCUGAGACAGGUGCUGCAUGGCCGUCGUCAGCUCGUGUCGUGAGAUGUUGGGUUAAGUCCCGUAACGAGCGCAACCCCUAUCCCUGGUUGCUAGCAGGUAAUGCUGAGAACUCCAGGGAGACUGCCGGUGACAAACCGGAGGAAGGUGGGGAUGACGUCAGGUCAUCAUGGCCCUUACGGCCAGGGCUACACACGUGCUACAAUGGCGCGUACAGAGGGCUGCCAACUCGCGAGAGUGAGCCAAUCCCUUAAAACGCGUCGUAGUCCGGAUCGGAGUCUGCAACUCGACUCCGUGAAGUCGGAAUCGCUAGUAAUCGCGAAUCAGAAUGUCGCGGUGAAUACGUUCCCGGGCCUUGUACACACCGCCCGUCACACCAUGGGAGUGGAUUGUACCAGAAGUAGUUAGUCUAACCUUCGGGAGGACGAUUACCACGGUGUGGUUCAUGACUGGGGUGAAGUCGUAACAAGGUAACCGUA
This 635-nucleotide ribosomal RNA is filed under the name uncultured Marinobacter sp. Its description in RNAcentral is "bacterial SSU rRNA". It matches the Rfam family "Bacterial small subunit ribosomal RNA", at positions 870 to 1504 of the family's 1533-position model. The record is from RNAcentral. Lineage: Bacteria; Pseudomonadati; Pseudomonadota; Gammaproteobacteria; Pseudomonadales; Marinobacteraceae.